GUGGGUCCAUACUCCGGCGGCAACGCUUCAGCGAAAAAAAAACCCCUAUCCUUCGAGACGCUGCACGACGGCAGGGACGCAUAGCUAUGGCGACGGCGGAGGCGACAGGCGAGGGUUUGGAGUUCCUAUCGGAUCCAGUUGACAGGUUUCCUCUGCCAGAUCUCGCCGCCGACGAAUCGCUGGUAAGCGGCGGAGGCAACCAAACUUUCGUAUGCACGGCUACCGAAUUCAGUAUCGGUGAUGUGGGUGAUGCGGCGGUGACAUUGGAACUAGAUUUGCAGAGCGAAUGCAAUGUAGUGGCUCUGUCGGCGCCGAACUCAGAGCAGUCGACGGGCAAAGACGAUCCUCAGGCGCCGGGCUGGACUAAGAGACUGCUUGUUGGGCAUGCACCUGAAGUCCUGAAGAACGCCCUCCGUGUGCCGGCAGAAUGAGUGCUCUUGAAAAAGCAUUGAGAAGAUAUACUGAGAAGAAAACUGACACUGUAAUAGUGCCUGCAGUAGGAAGCACGUCUGAUUCACUUGGAGAAGCUUAUGACUAUUACAAUUUGUAUUCCUAGGAAAUUGGGGAUUUGGGGUAAGAUAUGGCAAGAGCAGGCUUAAUGUUGAAAGGACAAAAUGCAUGCAAGAGAUAGUAUGUGGCUGCUCGGGGAUUCCAUAGAAAAGCAACACCCGGACUUGCCAGUGCAGGUGCCCCGCGCUCAUACGAUUGCUUCGAUCAAAGGACAAUGGAUGGUACAUAAGUGAGUUCAUACCAUCACACAGCCAUUCUUUAAUGGAGAAGUGUGGCAAGAAGGUGUACUCGCCGUCACACAGACAUAUCGAUAUAUACACACGUGAUGUGGUUAAGCAACUCCAUGAAAAUAACAAUAGCAUUGGCAAGGUUUACAAUAUAAUGGAGUAGUUUCUUUGGUUCAAUGUCCAAUGUGCCAUUCAUCAAAAGAGCGUUGAGGGGGCUAUGUGGCAAGAUCAGCCGUGAGCAAGCAGACGAUGUUGUCAGGAAGACAAUGGAUGUUUUUGCCGAGUUGGGAGCAAAAGAUACUGGUCUGUACUACAGAGUGCAGUCGGAUGAGGAUAGCCGCAUACGGAAUUUGUUAUGGUCAACCGGAUCAAGCAGGGCCCAGUACCACUUCUUUGGAGAUGCGAUAACAUUUGAUACAACAUACCGUACCGACCUCGUUGACAUGCCAUUUGGCCUGUUUGUGGGAGUCAACAGACACUUCUAGACCAUGAUAUUUGGUGGCGUCCUAGUGAGAGAUGAGACAGUCGAGACUUUUCAGUGGGUAUUCACUGAAUUCAUUCGCAUGAUGGGCGGAAAACAUCCACAAACUUUGCUUACAGAUCAAUGCAGGUCCAUGGAGAUAGCAAUGGAGAAAGUGAUGCCAGAAACCACUCACCGCUGGUGCAAGUGGCACGUGCUGAAGAAGGCAAAGGAAUCUCUGGGACCAUACUACACAAAGCGCAACAAAUUCAGGCCAGAGUUCCACAAGAUAAUACUCCCUCCGUUCGGAAUUACUUGUCACACAAAUGGAUGUAUCUACAACUAAAAUACAUCUAGAUACAUUCAUUUCUUGGACGAGUAAUUCCGAACGGAGGGAAUACAUCACAUGCUGACAGUGGAGGAAUUCGAAACUGCAUGGAAGCAACUGACAGAAUCACAUGGUUUCGAAAAACAUCCUUACCUUACUCACAUCUAUGAAACAAGAGCAAAAUGGGCUAAACCGCUAAACCAUACUUUAAAAGUAAAUUUUGUGCCAAAAUGACAAGCACACAGCGCAGCGAGAGUGCGAACCAUAUGCUCAAGGGUUAUGUUCCAGCAAGCUGCCCCAUGCAUCUCUUUGUUCGACAGUACAUGCGGCUUCUUUCUUAUAGAGAAGCAAGUGAAAACUAUGAGGAGAGGCGCACAAAAAUAGUAGCCCCAGAAAAUGAACACGCGAAGAGUUGCAUGCAAGCAGAGUCUAUACACAAGCCAUGUUCUAAAAAUUUGGUGAGAUUAUAUACGAAGCAGGUCAAUACAGAGUAGAGGAGGUGACUAGACAGAAAACCUACUUGGUGCCAUGAUACCACCCAAAAAAAUAUGAGAAGUGGGGCAGGAUUGUCUACAAAGUAGAACUUGCUGACGAAGGGAAUGAGUUGAUAUUUGAGUGUUCUAGUUUCGAACACACAGGUCUGCUAUGCUGCCAUUCAGUGAAGGUAAAAAUUAAAUCCCUUGGUACAUGACGCGGGGUGAGCGGUAGACAAACCUGUAUGAUAUGCCAUUUGGGCUGCUUGUGGGAGUCAAUAAUCACUUCCAGAGCGUGAUUUUUGGCGGUGUGCUAGUAAGAGAUGGGCAGUGGAAACUUUUCAAUGGGUGUUCACUGAAUUUACCCGCGUGAUGGGCGGCAAACAUCCACAAACCGUGCUCACAGAUCAAUGCAAGGCGAUGGAAGUAGCAAUAGAGAAAGUGAUGCCACACACGACUCACUGUUGGUGCAAGUGGCACGUGCACUUUGUAAUUUCGUGGGGCUAAAAGCUCCAGAACAAAAACGAAAGCCCGGUCACCAAUCACCCGCAGGGAUAAACCUCCAUAUGAUGAUCGUGGUGCAAAAAGCAAGAAGUACAGACUGACAGCAAAUGCACAAGCUUGAAAUGGAUGCGGGACAAGUAAAUGAACUCGCUUGUCCAUUAUAUGUUGAGAACCAGGGCACAAGAGCACCACAUGUCCACAAAGAGGUGAUCUUCCUCAAAAAGAAAGGAAAGCGGCAAAAUGCUCGAACUGUGGCUUCGGUGGUCACAGGAAAAACACCUGCAGCAAGCCUAGGGUUGUACUCCAUGUUGAAAUUGCUACCUUAGAGCCAAAUGCAAUUUGCGGGUGACUUAAUUUAGAUUCAGUGUUUGUUCUGUGUUGUUGAGGGCGUUGUAGCCGUUAACUUUAACUGCAAGACUCUUGUUGUAAUAAUAACCGUCAGUGAAGUACGCGUUGUUUGUGAUCAGGUUGUCGUUGUGAUUUGAAUGUUUAUCAUGUAGAGGAAAAAAUGUAUGAGAGUCUGCCUAAUGUUGUAGUGUGCAUGUGCA
Non-coding RNA from Triticum urartu, 3050 nucleotides. The record is from RefSeq and is a predicted model, not a curated record. Lineage: Eukaryota; Viridiplantae; Streptophyta; Magnoliopsida; Poales; Poaceae.